CUCCUACGGGUGGCUGCAGUAGGGAAUUUUCCACAAUGGGCGAAAGCCUGAUGGAGCAACGCCGCGUGCAGGAUGAAGGCCCUCGGGUCGUAAACUGCUUUUAUGUGAGAAGAAUAUGACGGUAACACAUGAAUAAGGGUCGGCUAACUACGUGCCAGCAGCCGCGGUCAUACGUAGGACCCAAGCGUUAUCCGGAAUUACUGGGCGUAAAGAGUUGCGUAGGUGGCAUUAUAAGUGGAGCGUGAAAGCGUGCGGCUCAACCGCAUUACUGCGUUCCAAACUGUGAGGCUUGAGUAUGAGAGAGGUUAUUGGAAUUCCCAGUGUAGGAGUGAAAUCCGUAGAUAUUGGGAGGAGCACCGAUGGCGUAGGCAGAUAACUGGCUCAUUACUGACACUAAGGCACGAAAGCGUGGGGAGCAAACGGGAUUAGAUACCCCGGUAGUCCACGCCGUAAACUAUGGAUGCUAGCUGUUACUCAUAUCGACCUGAGUAGUAGCGAAGUUAACGCGUUAAGC
This 514-nucleotide ribosomal RNA is filed under the name uncultured bacterium. RNAcentral's name for it is "bacterial SSU rRNA". It matches the Rfam family "Bacterial small subunit ribosomal RNA", at positions 336 to 865 of the family's 1533-position model. The record is from RNAcentral.